CCAAAGCUCAGAAGGCUGUUCAUUAAACACAACACUGCCCUGCCCUCAAGUGCCCCAGUCGAGAGACUCUUCAGCGCCGGUGGUCUAAUAUUCAGGCCCAGAAGGAACCGGCUAGGAGAUGCAAACUUUGAGAAGCAGCUGAUGUUGAAUGCCAACCAAAAGAUUUAAAGGAUGUUGAAUCCACCAGGGAGGACUAUUGAUUGAUGAUCAUCCUUUGUUUGUUCAUUCGUCUGGAUUUGUUUUUGUUCUAAUAUUCAGACCCAAAAGGAACCGGCUAGGAGAUGCAGACUUUGAGAAGCAGCUGGGCUUGAAUACCAAAGAUUUAAAGG
This is a long non-coding RNA of Engraulis encrasicolus (European anchovy), 329 nucleotides long. RefSeq lists it as uncharacterized. The transcript has 4 exons. The record is from RefSeq and is a predicted model, not a curated record. NCBI's taxonomy places the organism in Eukaryota, Metazoa, Chordata, Actinopteri, Clupeiformes, Engraulidae.